AAAAUUCAUGGUCUUACAGCUCCUGCUGACAGUUUGCACCAUGUUCAGACCCUGCAUGAGCCAAUUGGUGUUGCAGGACAGAUAAUACCCUGGAAUUUUCCGUUAUUAAUGUUCGCCUGGAAAGUUGGCCCUGCACUUGCUUGUGGUAACACUGUCGUACUAAAACCAGCAGAACAAACACCACUCUCUGCCCUGUAUGUGUCAAAGUUAUUCCAUGAGGUUGGACUUCCCCCUGGAGUCUUAAAUGUCAUUCCUGG
This 257-nucleotide unclassified non-coding RNA is filed under the name Hevea brasiliensis (rubber tree). The record is from RNAcentral. Lineage: Eukaryota; Viridiplantae; Streptophyta; Magnoliopsida; Malpighiales; Euphorbiaceae.